AGUGAACGCUGGCGGUAGGCCUAACACAUGCAAGUCGAACGGCAGCACAGUAAGAGCUUGCUCUUACGGGUGGCGAGUGGCGGACGGGUGAGGAAUACAUCGGAAUCUACUUUUUCGUGGGGGAUAACGUAGGGAAACUUACGCUAAUACCGCAUACGACCUACGGGUGAAAGCAGGGGAUCUUCGGACCUUGCGCGAUUGAAUGAGCCGAUGUCGGAUUAGCUAGUUGGCGGGGUAAAGGCCCACCAAGGCGACGAUCCGUAGCUGGUCUGAGAGGAUGAUCAGCCACACUGGAACUGAGACACGGUCCAGACUCCUACGGGAGGCAGCAGUGGGGAAUAUUGGACAAUGGGCGAAAGCCUGAUGCAGCCAUACCGCGUGGGUGAAGAAGGCCUUCGGGUUGUAAAGCCCUUUUGUUGGGAAAGAAAAGCAGCAGGUUAAUACCCCGCUGUUCUGACGGUACCCAAAGAAUAAGCACCGGCUAACUUCGUG
Molecule: ribosomal RNA, 492 nt
Filed under: uncultured bacterium
Lineage: Bacteria
Description: partial 16S ribosomal RNA
Rfam family: Bacterial small subunit ribosomal RNA
Source: RNAcentral